UCCUAAGAGCCACUGUGGCUUCUGGAGACGCUUACAUCAGUGUCUUUUCCUUUAAAUAUCCUGAGCUGAAGCGCCCUUUGCUUGUGAUCUCGUGCAUGCCCACACAGCCGAAAAUAGCCACUGCACAAGGAAAAGCUGGAGGUUACCAAGGGAUGUGCUCAUGCAGUAGCAUUUAUCUGGGACCUCAGCACUUGAAAAGAACAAAGACCAGGACAGUGGAGAGGAGGCUCAACCCCUAACAGCAAAGUUGUGUUUGCUGCUGUUCUGUUCUCCACACGGUGUCCCACUCCACCUCUCCCUGCAUCCUCUGUGCUUUCUGGCAUUGCAUAAAGGCUGCUGGCUGGCACAGGCUGGGUACAUGCAGCUUUGUGCUGGGGUCCUGGUGGCAGACACCCACUGUUGAAGUACGCUGUUAUGGGGGCAAACAAAAAAGAGAGGAAAGGAACAUUUUUCCCAGAGGCCGUGUGCUGCCCGUCCCCAUUUGUUGUUUUAAGUGCCUCUGGUCUCCCAGUGUUAUCUAUGGAGCAAUGUGUGCCAUGCAAUGGGAUGGGAGCUGCCCUCACUGCUUUGCUGUGGGGCUGUAUGGCCCCAGGAGAGGCUCAGAGGUGCAAGGAGCUCUGCAUGGCACAGCUCUGCCUGGGCAGCUGCAGUUCUUUUUCCUCUUUUUGGUCAACACCCAACAUAUCACCUCAGUUCCCAAACUGGCUGCCUCUGGUCCUGCAGAGGAGGAAGCUGUGUGCUCUCCCCUGGGUUCAGGGCAAGUCUGGGUGGGCCCGUGUGAGUCGGAUGCAUUUAAAGACCUAAGCAAUACAUAAGGUCCUUAUUUAGUAAGGACAAGCUUCUGUAAGGUGCUCGCUUGGGUUCACGCCUGCCCUUUAAUUGCAAUGGGUAACGAAUUGCUUGCAGCUCCCACCCUGCCAUCCCCAAACAGCCUGGGAGGACCUGAAGAGCUUUGGGCUGCCUGCAUAGGAAAAAUUGGAUGCUUGAAACGCAAAAGAAUCUGCCCUGUAAAAGUCCAGGAGGAUAAGUCAUGCUUUCCUGCCACAUACAAUGCCAAAAAUAAAACAAGGCUGGUUUUGCAAUGCUGGUAGUUACAGCAGAUCAUGGGGCUGUUUUUCCUUUUUGCAGUGCAAAAACUCUUCCAACCAUAGCACUGAAAGCCUCCUUUAACAAAACCCUUGCUUUUUUUUUUUCCCAGCCCUGCUGGAUGCAGGCAGCCACAGGAGGAUGGGCUGCUGGGGGUUAAGGCUGUGACCUGAAUGAGAGCCACUGCUGCAUCUCACAGACAGCAGAGUGGAAAUAAAUCUGACCUUGUUCCCAACGCCAGAGCCUUUGUAAUGCUGGAGUAGCACAGAAGGAUGAGGUGCCUCAGGCAUGCUCAGCUCUGUGCUGUUGCUUUGGGGUGUGGGAUAUUUGUUUGUUCCCAAACGCAUUGAUCAGAGCAGUUCUCAUAGCUGGGACGCAGUCAGGCCUUUCCCCUGAAUCCCCAGCAGCCAAUAAAUAAUUCUGUCAUCCCUCAGCCCUCCUGUGCUGUCAGCUCUGAUUGUCCCAGUGCUUGCCCUCUGCCCCUCCUGGCCUUGGCAGCGUGCAUUAUUUGCUCUGAGGCCAUUUCCUUUAGCCAAGGAUGAGAUCUGAAUGCAGAGCUCUGGAGUCACGGCGCAGCUGUUUACAGAACCCUUCUGCUUGCUGUCACGAGUUGGGAAGCAGCACGAGUAACAAGCAGUUGUUUGUCUGCCACGUGGGAGAUGGGAGUCCAAAAAGCAGAGUGCUGCUGGGCUGCUCACCCUGGGCAGCAUCUCUCAUCUGCUCUUACAUGUUUCUGCAUUGCUCUCCUGCUGGUCCCUGCGCUCAGAUCAGCAGGAGUCACCAUCCUGCUUUGUCUGAAGCCUGCAGGACUGCAGGCAUUGCUUUAAUGCUUUGUGUUUGACCUGGCAGCGGUGCAAAGGGGAGGAUUUGGGGCUGCCUGUGCUCACCCUACACCUAUGGAGUCAUCUGCUUCUUUUCCACCUUGGCUGUAAUUUUGGCUCAACAGAGAGGGCUGUGGCCACCAACAAACCCUGAUGCACCAGAGGGAGAGAGCUGUGUGGAAUUGUCGAGAAGGAGCGGAGGAAGAGCGUGGAAGAGGAUACUGCAUGCAAAGCUGACAAAGAGGAGGCAGGGGGAGAGCAGCUGGGGGAGGUGGAUGCAGCUAUAGGAUGCAGUUGGGCGUCUGAGACAGCAGAAGAGUUGGGCUGAAGGGAAAGUUAUGCCAGUGACGUGCAGAAAGUAAGAGUGGAGUUGGAUUCCUGGGGAUGGAGGCUUGGGGAUACCGUGGGUAUGGUUCUGCUUUGCUGGCAGGAUGCAUCCCAAGAGCAGCAACUGGAGGGUUUGCCUGCAGAGCUCUGAGGUGCUGGGCAUCACCGUAUGCCCACCUCCAUCCACAUGCUUUGAGAGCUCUGGCCAAAUCUGAGGGCCUUCUGAAGCAGCCCUUCACCUAAAUGAAGUGCAGCAAUUCAGACGGUGCACCGAAAGCUGUACAACAAACUGGGCAGCCGUUUGGUGCUGUAGUCCCCUGCUCCAUCUCCUCCCUUGCAGUCUGGGAGGCCUGGUGGGUAUCAGCCCUCCCCUCCCCGCUUUCCAAACAGUCACGCUGCGCUCUGCUCUGCUCAUGCAGGCAUCUGGCAUCAGGCUGCUCUAUU
Tympanuchus pallidicinctus (lesser prairie-chicken) is the source of this 2678-nucleotide long non-coding RNA. RefSeq lists it as uncharacterized. NCBI's taxonomy places the organism in Eukaryota, Metazoa, Chordata, Aves, Galliformes, Phasianidae. The transcript has 3 exons. The record is from RefSeq and is a predicted model, not a curated record.